CAGUAGCCGCGGGAAUACGGAGGGUGCAAGCGUUAAUCGGAAUUACUGGGCGUAAAGCGCACGCAGGCGGUCUGUCAAGUCGGAUGUGAAAUCCCCGGGCUCAACCUGGGAACUGCAUUCGAAACUGGCAGGCUAGAGUCUUGUAGAGGGGGGUAGAAUUCCAGGUGUAGCGGUGAAAUGCGUAGAGAUCUGGAGGAAUACCGGUGGCGAAGGCGGCCCCCUGGACAAAGACUGACGCUCAGGUGCGAAAGCGUGGGGAGCAAACAGGAUUAGAUACCCGUGUAGUCCCUGUCUCUUAUAA
RNAcentral lists this ribosomal RNA (301 nucleotides) under uncultured bacterium. Its description in RNAcentral is "partial 16S ribosomal RNA". It matches the Rfam family "Bacterial small subunit ribosomal RNA", at positions 509 to 809 of the family's 1533-position model. The record is from RNAcentral.